GAGGGCUUAGCUUAAUUAAAGUACUUGAGUUGCAUUCAGGUGAUGUGAGAUGAGGUCUUGCAGUCCUUA
RNAcentral lists this transfer RNA (69 nucleotides) under Tamandua tetradactyla (southern tamandua). RNAcentral's name for it is "transfer RNA-Ala". It matches the Rfam family "tRNA". From Rfam's summary of the family: Transfer RNA (tRNA) molecules are approximately 80 nucleotides in length. Their secondary structure includes four short double-helical elements and three loops (D, anti-codon, and T loops). Further hydrogen bonds mediate the characteristic L-shaped molecular structure. tRNAs have two regions of fundamental functional importance: the anti-codon, which is responsible for specific mRNA codon recognition, and the 3' end, to which the tRNAs corresponding amino acid is attached (by aminoacyl-tRNA synthetases). tRNAs cope with the degeneracy of the genetic code in two manners: having more than one tRNA (with a specific anti-codon) for a particular amino acid; and 'wobble' base-pairing, i.e. permitting non-standard base-pairing at the 3rd anti-codon position. The record is from RNAcentral. Lineage: Eukaryota; Metazoa; Chordata; Mammalia; Pilosa; Myrmecophagidae.